Molecule: ribosomal RNA, 497 nt
Filed under: uncultured bacterium
Lineage: Bacteria
Description: partial 16S ribosomal RNA
Rfam family: Bacterial small subunit ribosomal RNA
Source: RNAcentral
GAUGAACGCUGGCGGCGUGCCUAAUACAUGCAAGUCGAACGAACAUACCCGGAUCUUUCUCGUCUGGCGUUAGCGCCAAACGGGUAAGUAACACGUAGAUAACCUCCCUAUACGACUGGGAUACCUCCUGGAAGCCUGAGCUAUUACCGGAGAAUAUAUUGUACCGCAUGGUUCAAUAGUGAAAGACGGUCUUGCUGUCACUUAUAGAUGGAUCCGCGCCGCAUUAGCUAGUUGGUAAGGUAACGGCUUACCAAGGCCACGAUGCGUAGCCGACGUGAGCGGGUGAUCGGCCACACUGGAACUGAGACACGGUCCAGAAGCCUACGGGAGGCAGCAGUAGGGAAUGUUCCGCAAUGGGCGGAAGCCGGACGGAGCAACGCCGCGUGAGUGAUGAAGGUCGUCGGAUCGUAAAACUCUGUUAUUAGGGAAGAACAAAUGUGUAAGUAACUAUGCACGUCUUGACGGUACCUAAUCAGAAAGCCACGGCUAACUACGUG